Molecule: non-coding RNA, 46 nt
Organism: Theobroma cacao (cacao)
Lineage: Eukaryota; Viridiplantae; Streptophyta; Magnoliopsida; Malvales; Malvaceae
Source: Rfam
AGAAUGGUGUCACUUGACACCACUCAAUUAGAAAAAAAUAUUUAUU